UACGAAGGGGGCUAGCGUUGUUCGGAAUUACUGGGCGUAAAGGGCGCGUAGGCGGCUCGAACAGUUGGGCGUGAAAGGCCUGGGCUCAACCCGGGAACUGCGUUCAAUACUGCCGGGCUAGAGUGUGGGAGAGGAUAGCGGAAUUCCCAGUGUAGAGGUGAAAUUCGUAGAUAUUGGGAAGAACACCAGUGGCGAAGGCGGCUAUCUGGACCACAACUGACGCUUAGGCGCGAAAGCGUGGGGAGCAAACAGG
This 253-nucleotide ribosomal RNA is filed under the name uncultured bacterium. RNAcentral's name for it is "partial 16S ribosomal RNA". It matches the Rfam family "Bacterial small subunit ribosomal RNA", at positions 524 to 776 of the family's 1533-position model. The record is from RNAcentral.